GAUGAACGCUGGCGGCGUGCCUAAUACAUGCAAGUAGAACGCUGAAGCCUGGUGCUUGCACCGAGCGGAUGAGUUGCGAACGGGUGAGUAACGCGUAGGUAACCUGCCUCUUAGCGGGGGAUAACUAUUGGAAACGAUAGCUAAUACCGCAUAAAAGUCGACAUUGCAUGAUGUUGAUUUGAAAGGUGCAAUUGCAUCACUAAGAGAUGGACCUGCGUUGUAUUAGCUAGUUGGUGAGGUAACGGCUCACCAAGGCGACGAUACAUAGCCGACCUGAGAGGGUGAUCGGCCACACUGGGACUGAGACACGGCCCAGACUCCUACGGGAGGCAGCAGUAGGGAAUCUUCGGCAAUGGGGGCAACCCUGACCGAGCAACGCCGCGUGAGUGAAGAAGGUUUUCGGAUCGUAAAGCUCUGUUGUAAGAGAAGAACGAGUGUGAGAGUGGAAAGUUCACACUGUGACGGUAACUUACCAGAAAGGGACGGCUAACUACGUGCCAGCAGCCGCGGUAAUACGUAGGUCCCGAGCGUUAUCCGGAUUUAUUGGGCGUAAAGCGAGCGCAGGCGGUUAGAUAAGUCUGAAGUUAAAGGCUGUGGCUUAACCAUAGUACGCUUUGGAAACUGUUUAACUUGAGUGCAGAAGGGGAGAGUGGAAUUCCAUGUGUAGCGGUGAAAUGCGUAGAUAUAUGGAGGAACACCGGUGGCGAAAGCGGCUCUCUGGUCUGUAACUGACGCUGAGGCUCGAAAGCGUGGGGAGCAAACAGG
This 765-nucleotide ribosomal RNA is filed under the name uncultured Streptococcus sp. RNAcentral's name for it is "bacterial SSU rRNA". It matches the Rfam family "Bacterial small subunit ribosomal RNA", at positions 28 to 776 of the family's 1533-position model. Lineage: Bacteria; Bacillati; Bacillota; Bacilli; Lactobacillales; Streptococcaceae. The record is from RNAcentral.